Non-coding RNA from Oryctolagus cuniculus (rabbit), 18199 nucleotides. Lineage: Eukaryota; Metazoa; Chordata; Mammalia; Lagomorpha; Leporidae. The record is from RefSeq and is a predicted model, not a curated record.
GCAUGAGGUACAAUAAGCUCUCUUUUCAGGUUUACGGUGGCCAGUAUGUUGGCUUGCCAGUCUUGAUCACUGUUGAUUCUACUGUUCCCAAAGCCUCCUGCCAAGCUCUUGACCCAAGUCACGCUCCCUGGUGAUGUCAUAAUGCUGCUAAGAAUUUGCUCAUUCACAGUACCUGUAGGGAUGCCCCCAGAGUCACAUACCUUCCCUCUUAGUCACACACUGCUUGGAGAAUAACACCUUAAAAAAGCAAGGCCUCUCCUUCCUGGAUUUUAAAGGCUUUGGGAACUUCUAGAAGGAAGACAGAGAAGAAAGGAGGAACAGGUAUAUAAAGUUAGAGAGGUCCUGGCUUGCUUGCACUUGGGAAAACACAUCUUUGCAAAAGGGCCUGAUCAGCUCUGGGCUCAUUAGCCAAGUAAGAACCAGCCAGCUGAAAUACUUCUCAUGGAACUACAUAAACAUAGGGAGAGCUUUUCUGAGAAGCUGUUCCACUGAGAGGUAGCUGAUUUGGCUCUUUUAUCCAUUCAAGAGGUGCAAUCAUAUAUAAGAUAGUGAUAGCCAGAAAGGUGGACCACAGCUCCCAGCUGUCAGGCAAUUCUUCCAAGUUGAGAGUCCUAUCCUGUAUGGUCAGGAUAUCGGCCAUGAUAAAUGUCUUACACCUGGUAUAUUUCUCUAGAUAUUUUCAACAUGGAAUUUAAGGUAGGAGUUAUGUGGUUGAUGAACACAAUAUAGAGAUGAAACAACAAAUACAGAAAUGAUCAGCAACGGCGAGAAAAGUCCACUUCAACUAUUUUUAGUACAGACAGUUUUACUGGAGCCCAGCAGUCGAACAGCCAGGGCUUCCUGGCAGAAGUUUACACCAGGAGAGAAGCAGGGCUCUUCUUUGGAGGAGCUGGAACCAUGAUGGGAGAAGCUUACCAGCAGAAGCUGGAGUCACAGAGGAAAUGCGGCUUCCACAAGAGACGCUGUCCGUGGCAAAAGGGGAGAUAUGUAUACUAUGAGCUCUCUUUACCUCCCUGCCUCCAAGCUCCCAUUGGCCUCAUUUAAGCCAAUUUUGCAAGGAAUCUGAGCAAUGUAGUUCCGUGUUAUGCCAACCAGAGUCAGCUAAGAGUGAGGAAUCAAUCUGAGAGAUUUUUUUUUCCAUUAUUACUAGCCCACUUAACGUUACACAUAACUUUCCUCAAGUUUCUAUCUCAUCCCACAACCUAGGGGUCACCUUCAGGUAGCUAAUGUCCUGUCCCCUGCUCAUCUUAGGUAGUUUACAAAGGUGAAAUUACCACACCCCCAUGAUGGAUGGAUGGAUGGAUGGAUGGUAGAUGGAUAAAUAGAGAGAGAGAGAUAGAAACUUAAUAAAUAACCUCUUUCUUAUCAAGUAAUCUUUAUACUCCCAACAAAUUGCAGUCACAAACAGCAUUUCCAUACUAUUCUGAAUUAAAAAUAGAACAAAUGCAUAAUGUUGGAGAUACUAAGUCCUUUAUGAGGGAAGAGUGAGUGACUAGUUGCCUCUGGUGAGUGACUACUUGCCUCUAAAGCUUCCCUCUAAAUUAGUGCUGCCAUUCACACACAAUGACAUGGAAUAAUUCUUAGCACACAGGAGAACUAUCUCUUGAAUCUAUCCAAUUGGAUUUUCUUUGAUUUACUGUCAAAGAUAUUUACUGUCAAAGAUAUUUACAAGUCGAUGGUGGUAAUAAUUGUUGACUGUUUAAUAUAACUUUUAUGCAUCGUAGAAUCAAAUUGAAUGAUUCUUAUCAUAGAAUAUUCUCUCCUGCAGUAUUUUCUCCUAUUAGCUACUAUCUUUAAAAGUCAAGGUAUUUAACAUGGAGAGUGGCUCCAAAGCAAGGGAUGGACAUAAGGGUCAGUGACAAUGUGGAGAUAUAAUAUGUGUAAGCCUUUACAAGAUGUAGGAGGGGUAGAGCAUGUUUUAAAUAGAUCUUAGACCUACUACCUACCUGGAACUGACAUGACCACAUCUGCCAAGCAAAUCCUCUACUGAAAACUGCAGAGGUGAUAACUCAGAAAGACCUGAGAUGUGCUGCUGUGGUGACAGAGCUCACACAGAAAUUAGAAAUAGAAAAAAUGAGAACCAAAACAUGAAAUAACUUAGGUUAAAAAAAAGGUCUGUUCACCUGUCAACAAGAAUCAUGAGAAAUGAUGACAAAACUGUAAUGUGGUAUAUCUUGACAGGAUCCUGAAAGACACAAAGGACAUUAAUAAAAAAAAUUUCAGGUAUUAGAAUCAUGUAAACUACAGUUAGCAAUAGUGCAUCAGUAUUUGUUUAGGAAUUGCAGCUGAUAUGCCAUAUGAUGUCCUAUGUUGUUUAUUGGUAGAACUGAGUACUGGAUAUAUGACAACUAUGUACAAUCUUGGCAGGCUUAUGUAAAGCAAAAACCAUUCUUUUUUUUUUUAAGAUAGCCUUUAAAAAUAUAUAUUUAUUUAUUUAUUUGAAAGUCAGACUUACACAGAGAGAGGAAGAGACAGAGACAGAGAGACAGUGAAAGAGAUCUUCCAUCUACUGGUUCACUUCCCAAAUGACUGCAAUGGCAGGGGCAGGGCCAGGUCAAAGCUAAAAGCCAGGAGCUUCUUCCAGAUCUCCCAUGUGGUUACUGGGACUCAAGCACUUGGGCCAUCUUCUGCUUCUUUCCCAGGCACAUUAGCAGGGAGCUGGAUCAGAAGUGGAGCAACCAGACCUCAAACCAGUGCCCAUAUGGGAUGCUGGUGUCACACGCAGUGGCUUCACCCACUACCCCCACAGUGCCCACUCCCACUAAAACCAUUCUUUAAAAAUAAGUGGUUUUUGCGGGCCUUUUUUUUUUUUGUAUGUUUGAGAGGCAAAGAACACAUAGGAGAAAGGUAAACAGAGAGACAAAGAACUUAUAUUCACUAGUAAAAAAUGACUGGGUAUGGCCAGAGCCAGGAGGCAGGAACUCAAUCCAGGUUACCCACAUGAAUGGUAGGGACCCAGUUACUUGAAUCAUCACAUCUGCCUCCACAGUCAGCAUUGGUGAAAAGCUGGAGGAAAGUCAGGUGUGUGAGUAUCACUAGAUUUAACCACUGCUCCAACUCAAGUUUCUUUUUAAUGGCCAAUAUAGAGGUAAAUGCAGCCUUCUUGAUUUCUCCCGGCAGGAGUUUUAACGUGUGUCACGGAAGCCUUUGGCAAUCUGGUGAAGUAUAACUAUAAAAGAUAAAAGUUGCAAAGAAAAUUAAUUCUAUUAAAAUAUAGUUUAUUGCAAUCACACAGGUACUGCAUUGAAAUGCAGCUAUUAAAAAUGAAAAAUCUAAUUUGCAAUAUAGUAAUACUUGUGUUGUCAUUAAUGCAGCAAAUAAAAGAACUAAUAAAAAGGGGACUGGGAGAGCGAGAAGAUGGCGGAAUAGGAAGGGAGCACACUGAUAGUCCGGGAAGAGAGAGUUUAAUAAAAGUGGAGAUACUGAAGGUUCAAGGAAAAGUAGAGGAAGAAACAGCAGAAGAAACUCUUCCAGAACUAGUGAUUCACAGUGGAACUGCAUGGAGAGUGUGGGAUCCCACAGUUUGGGACACCAGCGGCAGAAUCAACACACCAGCGAGAAGCGCAAGGUGAGCCGAACCUCAAUAGCCCGAGACACCGGUGGGCAAGCAGAAAGAGGAGACUAGAGGGAACGAGGCUUGAAACCCCGUGGGGAAAAGUUCACCAGAUUAACUACAAGAGAGAGGAGAAAAAAAAAUGUGACCAAUACGGACACGAGUUUCUCUCUCUCCGCUCACCUCUCAAAGGCAAGCAAGAUAAAAGCAGGCGCCAUUUUGGACAUACGUCAUAAGCAGGUCUGCACCGGCCCUCAGCCUAGCAGAAAAACCUGACUGGGGUGGGGGUGAAAUAACAGGAGAUUAGGACCUAGUGAAUGUGUGCUGCUAAUGAAUGGAGACUGUGAAAAAAAAGACGGUGGGGGAGAGAACUCACGGAAUUCACAUGAGUACUCUACAGAGACGCUGCAAUUCGGUAACCCUGGCAACCCAGUGGGAGACUGCAGGAGAAUUUGAGCCCACACUGAGGGCAGGACAGAUUCCCUGUGUGGCCCUUGGGAAAGAGCUUCUGAUCUCUGGAUCAUGUGGGUAUAUCAUUCACCUGCUAACUACCUCCAAUUCUGCUGAGCUGUGCAGAAUUACUUCCCUUUUGAAUCAAAAAAAAGAAAGAAAGAGAGAGAGAUUUACCACACCUAACCUGGGAGUGUCACCUUUGGCACACCCUUAACCCUGAGGAACCAAACAGAGCUCUCAGGCCACACCCAUCUCAAGCCUCUAAGGCUCCAUCAAAAGCAGACAGUCCACUUAAUACAGUCAUAGUAUAACAAGAAAAAACACCACAGUGAGGGAAGAAGAAACAAAGAUAUCUCCACAAUGCCAAGCAACAAACGCAAAAACCGAGGAAAAAAGAAAAAGGAAGACAUUAUGACAACCCCAAAUGAACAAGACACCCCAAGGCAAGAUUAUGAAAAUGAUGAGAUGGAAGAAAUGCAAGAUACUGAUUUCAAAAAAUUUAUGAUAAGAACAAUUAGAAGUUUUCAAAAACAAAUGCUUGAGCUAUAGAAUUCCUUACUGGACAGGAUAGAAAAUCUCCUUUGAGAAAAUGAAAUCUUAAGGAGGAAUCAAAAUGAAAUGCAGAAACUAGUAGAACAGGAAAGUGCGACAGUGAAGAGAAAUCAAAAUGAAAUGAAGAGCUCAAUAGAUCAAAUGACAAACACAUUAGAGAGCAUUAAAAACAGAGUCAGUGAAACAGAAGAGAGAAUAUCGGACUUAGAAGACAGAGCACAGGAAAGUAUACAGUCAAACCAAAGAAAAGAAGCGGAAAUUAGAAAUCAAAAAAAUAUUGUUGGGAACAUACAGGAUACUAUUAAAAAACCCAGCAUUCAGUUCUAGGAGUUCCUGAAGGCAUGGAGAGAGAGAGAAAGGAUUAGAAGGCCUUUUUAGUGAGAUACUAGCAGAAAACUUCCCGGGUUUACAGAAGGACAGAGAUAUCCUAGUACAGGAAGCUCAUAGAACCCCUAGUAAACAUGACCAAAAGAGAUCCUCACUACGACACGUUAUAAUUAAACUCACCACAGUGAAACAUAAAGAAAAGAUUCUAAAAUGUGCAAGAGAGAAAUGUCAGAUUACUCUCAGAGGAUCUCCAAUUAGACUCACAGCAGACUUCUCAUCAGAAACCCUACAGGCUAGAAGGGAAUGGCAAGACAUAGGUACUAAAAGAGAAAAACUGCCAGCCCAGAAUAUUAUAUCCUGCUAAGCUCUCAUUUGUGAAUGAAGCUGAAAUAAAGACCUUUCAUAGCAAACAGAAAUUUAAAGAAUUUGUCACCACUCGUCCAGCCCUGCAAAAGAUGCUUAAAGAUGUGUUACACACAGAAACACAAAAACACGGUCAUCGAUAUGAAAGAAGGUAAAGGAAGGAAACCUCACAGCAAAAGAUCACAGAAGUUCAAAGCAUAUAUUAGAAAAUAUCUUUGGCAAAUGGCAGGGCAAAGUUACUACUUAUCAAUAGUCACAUUGAAUGUUAAUGGCCUCAACUCUCCAGUUAAAAGACACAGAUUGGUUGAUCGGGUUAAGGAACAAAACCCAUCUAUUUGCUGUUACAAGAAACACAUCUUUCCAACAAAGAUCCAUACAGACUGAAAGUGAAAGGCUGGAAAAAGCUAUACCAUGCCAUCAGAAAUGAAAAAAGAGCGGGCAUAGCCAUCUUAAUACCGGAAAACAUAAACUUUAACACAAGAACUGUUAAGAGAGACAAAGAGGGGCACUAUAUAAUGAUUAAGGGAUCAAUACAACAAGAAGAUAUAACAAUUAUCAAUGUAUAUGCACCUAAUUACAGGGCACCGGUUUAUUAAAAGAUUUGUUAAGGGACUUAAAGGGAGACUUCAAUACUGCACUCUCAGAAAUAGACAGAUCAACAGGACAGAAGAUCAACAAGGAGACAGUAGAUCUAAAUGACACUAUAGCCCAAAAGGAUCUAACAGAUAUCUACAGAACUUUUCAUCCUACACAUAAAGCAUUUACAUUCUUCUCAGCAGUACAUGGAACCUUCUCUAGGACUGACCACAUACUAGGCCAUAAAGCAAGUCUCAGCAAAUUCAAAAGAAUUAGAAUCAUACCAUGCAGCUUCUCAGACCACAAAGGAAUGAAGUUGGAAAUUAGCAACUCAGGAAUCCCUAGAGCAUACACAAACACAUGGAGAUUGAACAACAUGCUCCUGAAUGAACAAUGGGUCAUAGAAGAAAUUAAAAGAGAAAUCAAAAAUUUUCUGGAAGUAAAUGAGGAUAACAGCACAACAUACCAAAACUUAUGGGAUGCAGCAAAAGCAGUGUUAAGAGGAAAGUUUAUAUCAAUAGGUGCCUACAUCAAGAAAUUGGAAAGGCACCAAAUAAAUGAGCUUUCAAUUCACCUCAAGGAUCUAGAAAACCUAGAGCAAACCAGACCCAAAUCUAGUAGGAGAAGAGAAAUAAUUAAAAUCAGAGAAGAAAUCAACAGGAUUGAAUCCAAAAAAACAUUACAAAAAAUCAGCCAAGUGAGAAGCUGGAUUUUUGAAAAAAUAAACAAAAUUGACACCCCAUUGGCCCAACUAACUAAAAAAAGAAGAGAAAAGACCCAAAUCAAUAAAAUCAGAGAUGAAAAAGGAAACGUAACAACAGACACCACAGAAAUAAAAAGAAUCAUCAGAAAUUACUACAAGGACUUGUAUGCCAGCAAACAGGGAAACCUAUCAGAAAUGGAUAGAUUCCUGGACACAUGCAACCUACCUAUAUUGGACCAGGAAGACAUAGAAGACCUAAACAGACCCAUAACGGAGACAGAAAUUGAAACAGUAAUAAAGGCCCUCCCAACAAAGAAAAGCCCAGGACCAGAUGGAUUCACUGCUGAAUUCUACCAGACAUUUAAAGAAAAACUAACUCCAAUUCUUCUCAAACUAUUCAGAACAUUCCUCAAUACAAUCAAAGCAAUUUAUGAAAAACCCACGGCCAACAUCCUAUUGAACGGGGAAAAGUUGGAAGCAUUUCCACUGAGAUCUGGAACCAGACAGGGAUGCCCACUCUCACCACUGCUAUUCAAUAUAGUUCUGGAAGCUCUAGCCAGAACAAUCAGGCAAGAAAAAGAAAUUAAAGGGUUACAAAUUGGGAAGGAAGAACUCAAACUAUCCCUCUUUGCAGAUUAUAUAAUUCUUUAUUUAGGGGACCCAAAGAACUCUACUAAGAGACAAUUAGAACUCAUAGAGGAGUUUAGCAAAGUAGCAGGAUAUAAAAUCAAUGCACAAAAAUCAACAGCCUUUGUAUACACAGACAAUGCCAUGGCUGAGGAAGAACUUCUAAGAUCAAUCCCAUUCACAAUAGCUACAAAAACAAUCAAAUGCCUUGGAAUAAACUUAACCAAGGACGUUAAAGAUCUCUACGAUGAAAAUUACAAAACCUUAAAGAAAGAAAUAGAAGAGGAUAGCAAGAAAUGGAAAAAUCUUCCAUGCUCAUGGAUUGGAAUAAUCAAUAUCAUCAAAAUGUCGAUUCUCCCAAAAGCAAUUUACAGAUUCAAUGAAAUACCAAUCAAGAUACCGAAGACCUUCUUCUCAGAUCUGGAAAAAAUGAUGCUAAAAUUCAUAUGGAGACACAGGAGAUCUUGAAUAGCUAAAGCAAUCUUGUACAACAAAAACAACGCCGGAGGCAUCACAAUACCAGAUUUCAGUGCAUAUUACAGGGCAGUUGUUAUCAAAACAGCAUGGUACUGGUUCACAAACAGAUGGAUAGACCAAUGGAACAGAAUUGAAACACCAGAAAUCACUCCAAACAUCUACAGCCAACUUAUAUUUGAUCAAGGAUCUAAAACCAAUUCCUGGAGUAAAGACAAUCUAUUCAAUAAAUGGUGCUGGGAAAACUGGAUUUCCACGUGCAGAAGCAUGAAGCAAGACCCUUACCUUUCACCUCACACAAAAAUUCACUCAACAUGGAUUAAAGACUUAAAUCUAUGACCUGACACCAUCAAAUUAUUAGAGAGCAUUGGGGAAACCCUGCAAGAUAUAGGUACCAGCAAAGACUUCCUAGAAAAGACACCGGAGGCACAGGCAGUCAAAGCCAAAACUAACUAUUGGGAUUGCAUCAAAUUGAGAAGUUUCUGUACUGCAAAAGAAACAGUCAGGAAAGACAAGAGGCAACUGACAGAAUGGGAAAAAUUAUUUGCAAACUAUGCAACAGAUAAAGGGUUGAUAACCAGAAUCUACAAAGAAAUCAAGAAACUCCACAACAUCAAAACAAACAACCCAAUUAAGAGAUGGGCCAAGGACCUCAAUAGACAUUUUUCAAAAGAGGAAAUCCAAAUGGCCAACAGACACAUGAAAAAAUGUUCAAGAUCACUAGCAAUCAGGGAAAUGCAAAUCAAAACCACAAUGAGGUUUCACCUCACCCCGGUCAGAAUGGCUCACAUUCAGAAAUCUACCAACAAUAGAUGCUGGAGAGGAUGUGGGGAAAAAGGGACACUAACCCACUGUUGGUGGGGAAGCAAACUGGUUAAGCCACUAUGGAAGUCAGUCUGGAGAUUCCUCAGAAACCUGACUAUAACCCUACCAUUCAACCCAGCCAUCCCACUCCUUGGAAUUUACCCAAAGGAAAUUAAACUGCAAACAAAAAAGCUGUCUGCACAUUAAUGUUUAUUGCAGCUUAAUUCACAAUAGCUAAGACCUGGAACCAACCCAAAUGCCCAUCAACAGUAGACUGGAUAAAGAAAUUAUGGGACAUGUACUCUAUAGAAUACUAUACAGCAGUCAAAAACAAUGAAAUCCGGUCAUUUGCAACAAGAUGGAGGAAUCUGGAAAACAUCAUGCUGAGUGAAUUAAGCCAGUCCCAAAAGAACAAAUAUCAUAUGUUCUCCCUGAUCGGCGACAACUAACUGAGCACCAAAGGGGAAACCUGUUGAAGUGAAAUGGACACUAUGAGAAACAGUGACUUGAUCAGCUCUUGUCCUGACUGUUGAUGUACAAUGUAAUACUUUAAGCAUUUUAGUAUUUUUUUUUGUUUUGUUCUAGUACUAUUGGUUGAACUCUGUAAUCAACACACAAAUAUUCUUAGGUGUUUAAAUAUUAACUGAAAAGUGAUCCCUGUUAAAUAUAAAAGAGGGAAUAAGAGAGGGAGGAGAUGUACAAUUUGGGACAUGCUCAAUCAGACUUGCCCCAAAUGGUGGAGUUAGAAACGUGCCAGGGGAUUCCAAUUCAAUCCCAUCAAGGUGGCAUGUACCAAUGCCAUCUCACUAGUCCAAGUGAUCAAUUUCAGUUCACAAUUGAUCACACUGAUAGGUCUAAGAGUCAAAGGGAUCACACAAACAAGACUAGUGUCUGCUAAUUCUAACUGAUAAAAUCAAAAAGGGAGAGAAUGAUCCAUCAUGGGAAGCCAGAUACAUAGCAGACUCAUAGAAUGGCAGAUGUCCUAAAUAGCACUCUGGCCUCAGAAUCAGCCCUUAAGGCAUUUGGAUAUGGCUGAAGUGCCCAUGAGAGUAUUUUAGGUAUGGAAAGCCAAGACACUCUGGGGAAAUAAAAAAAGAAGAAGAAGACCUAAAUGGAAGAUCUCUGUGAGUGAGAUCCCAAUGGAAAGAAUGGGACCAUCAAAGAAGGAGGUACCUUUCUCUGAAGGGAGGAGAGAACUUCCACUUUGACUAUGACCCUGUUGGAAUAAGAUCGAAGUUGGCGAACCCAAAAGGCUUCCAUAGCCUUGGCAACUCAUGAGUAGAGCCUAGGGAGAUUACUGACUCCAUAAACAAGAGUGUCAAAUUGUUAAGUCAACAACAGGAGUCACUGGGUACUUACUUCUCAUGUGGGAUCUGUCCUUAAUGUGUUGUCCAAUGUGAAGUAAUGCUAUAACUAUUUACCUUGUUGCCUGCAUUCAUGAUCUAACGGAAAGUUAAAUUUCAGUUAGAAGUUGCAGGAAAAAAAGUUGUAAGCUUUUCCCAUUCAAGUUCAUAGGUAAUUCACUCUUCCACCAAUUCCUACAACUACCCAUAGUCCUGUUAAGAAUCCCUGGGCUCAAGGAACUGCUUGCACUCACAUCCUCUCUCCCAUCUAAGUACUAACCUGACCCAACCCUUCUUAGUUUCUGAGGUCAGAUGAGACUGGGUGCGUUCAGGGUGGUAUGGCCAUAGAUGCACUAAGGUUCUAGGGAAGUGACGCCAGUCUUGGCCUGUGUGUCUGUGUGGGCAUCAAAAGAGGUAUUUGGGAAAGUGUUGCCCUGCAGCAUGUCUCCCUUUACCCUGCACAGCCUCACCUAGGCUUGUCAUCUCUCCUGCUGUUUGGUCAGCUGUUCUUGGACCCUUAUUGAAUUGGAGAUUAAUGCAAGUAUUCAAAACCUUUCUAUUACUUUUUUGUUGUUAUUUAGCACAACUCUAACAACCCCUAACUCUCUGGGAAAGAAGUUCCACAUGUUUACGUAAGUGCUUUAUCUAAGAAAACUUUCUUUAACUUGUCCCUAACCUCUCUACACUUUUUCUCUGAGAUAAUCAGCCCACAUUUGAAUCAUGAUUCUAAAGAAUUUACUUCUAUAAAUACCACUCAUCUGUGGUAGGUUUAUAGUGUAUCAGUCACGAAUAUACUUAAAUACAUCCCCCUGAGAUGUGGCUUUCUAAACAUCUCUCUGCUACACCAUCUCCUUCCACCAAAUUGCUGGAAAGAGAAAAUCCAGGCUAUCUAAGCUAUACCAUCCAAAAAUGCAUAGUCUCCAGCCCAGAAAUAGCCAAUGACAAGCAGCAUGGAAGUGCCAAGUAAAAUUUUGUAGGUAAACACUCAGGGAUAUUCCCCUAAUGGCUUUUUGUGUCUUUACACAAACUUACCUGUUGAUAGUAUCUGUCAGUGCCUCCCUCCCAGUAGAGCAGUGUUGGCCCCACAAGUCAGAAUUUCUAUUUACUGAGAACGGAGCCUGGCAACUCUUCAACCACAAGUAAUCUAAAAACAUUUACCUGCCUAAACCAAUCUUCCUCUUGACACACCAACUGGGUGUUGCCAAGCUUGGAAACAGCUCAAACAAUGUGUUUUGUUUCUGGGAAAAAAAAUGAUUGAAGUCUGACAAGAUGUCCUCAAGCCAUCCUUUAUUUUUAUUAUGAAUAACUUUGUAUAAGAAAUUGAAUUUCAUGAAACCUGAAAUAGACUAAGUGAAUUCAUUGGAACUGGUUGACUGUUUGAUUUUGACCAGAUACUUCCAGCUCAUUACUAAUUCUUGAUAAUGCUGUCACAUUAAAAUAGAGAUUUGUGAAUUUGUAUGAACAGAUGCUGUUGGAUUUUCCCUUUCUUCUCAAGCAGAAAGAUGCCUGGGCUUGCCGAGUAUCAGUGUAGUUAGAAAAACUUGCUAUUUAGCUGCCUUCAUUCUGAAACAUAAAAAUAUUCUUGAGUGAUUUGUUUUACUAUUUACAGUACUGGGGCAUAGUAAAGAAUGCUACAUUAGUAAAAAUCAAGCUCUCAUGAACUCUCCCUGGCAAAUUUGACCCAAGUGGCAAAGCAUUCCUUUGCAUUGCCUUCUCCCUCAUUUCAGAGCUUUUAGUUAUAUAUGCAAGCCCAGUGGGGAAAUUAGGUCAGUCUGGAUCAUUUCAGUCCCCACCCCAAAAAGAAUCAACCUUUCUCUUCUCCUCAGAGUAAUUUGGAAGGACUAGACUUGUCUGCUGUCACAAGAUGAUCUGUAUCCCUACUGACUGACUAUUCUGUGGAGCCAGGGUACAGACUGCAAUGAACAGAGACUGGUGUGUGGAAGAGAGGCAAAUAGUAGUGCAGGAACCAUGGGUCUGGGUCACAUUUCCUGCAGGACAGACUAGGGACAGCCCCUUCAAUGCCCAACAGCUCUUGGUGCUCUGCAACCUCUGGCCAACAUCAGGUUGCAAUAAAUGUAAAUGCUUGAUACUGAUUGUUUUCUUCUUUCUGAAAAGAAACGAAAUUAUUAUCAAUAAGCUUUUUUUCAUUUCAGCUGUGUUUCAUGGCUUACAAUUAUCUUGGAGCUAGGAGUCUUCAUCUUUUUGCCCUAACCCAUAAAAUUGUGUCCAGACCUCUGUGAGGGUGCCUACUUUUAAAUGUGCCAAUUGAGGAACAUUAAAAGUACUGCCCAUCUGUACUCUCACUUUUAUUUGAUCAAAAAUAAAAGCAUAUCUUAAUGUCAAAAAAGACAGGAUAUCAUCUAAGAAGAAAGAAUAGUUGUCUCAGUAAGUUUAGUUUUAUGAAAAACUCAUUAUGAUUCCUUUUAUGGUUUGAUUUGGUUUUUAGUUUGUUUUUUAAUUUCACCACUGUCUAGUCUAACUUUCAGAAAUUAUUGCUUUAGAGUAUAAUUUGUCUAGAGCAAAAUAUCAGGAAAUAGUGUGCAAGCCUGUGGCAGCUAUAAAAACGUGCCUUCACGUCUCCUGAUGCAGGAAUGUGACUGACAGAAGGCCCAGCUGCACCUUCUUUGGAUUCACACCAAAGCCUCACUUCCUGUUGGCUGCCCCCAAUUCCUGACUGCAUGCAGCAAGAGCAAUGAGGCAGGCCCAUUCUGGCAAGGGGCAGUUCUCCUCUGAUGAGCCAUUGUGACUGAAGGACUCCCCAGGGCUGCCCAGAAUUUUCUUAGAGCUGAACCUCACUCAGACUCUUCCUAUCCAUCCCUCCCUCCUUCCUCCGCUCCUUCUCAGGGUCAGAUCUGCAUCACAGCCCCAGGGUUCUCUGUUCUUCCUCCAGCUUCCUCCUCUCUUUCCCCGGUGGGCAUUCCCCCACUACCUUUUCCAGGUUGGAUCCUGCCUAGGUGGCUGUCUCUCAAAGGACCUGAUCUAACACAAUGUCCUUUUCCAUCCAUUCCUUUAUUCACUUAUGCCUCACACACCACCACCAGGGAACAAGAGACUUUGCCAUGUUUCAUCCAUGCCAAAGCUAGGACAAGAAGCCAGAAAUUCCAGUUCCUAGACUAAACUUUCCAUUGUGGCCCAAGAUUUCUCCUGAAGGAACCACUCCUCAGUGCAAAGCAUCCUGUGUGAACAGAAAUAUCUAGGUUAUAAGUUCUCCAAUGAGUUUUCCAAGGACAACUUCCCAGUGAUUGUUCCAUCUCCUGACUUGUGGUUUUCCAGUGUUUUUAAACCAUCAGCUCCUGUAUUCAAGGCACAUCCUUGCUAGUGAUUGAUGGAUAACAGCAGAGGAAGAACUGAGGCACAGCUGGACUGGUGGUCAAGUGGGCAUGGAGACUGAUGCCAGCUGCUAGACCUUCUCUGUCCUUAGCCCUGCUCUCUGCCACAGCAGUGCCCUUCCAAGAAUCCCAGAGGGUCUACUAAGAUUGACAGCCUGAUUCCUGUCUGGACUGUUUAUUCAAAAGGAAUAUUUCACAGAGAGGCCUCCUCAGUUAAGUCACAUGAGGAGAAAGAGAGCAAAGUCAUGUAGUUCUGGCUCCCAGGGCCACCUCCAAGGGAGGCACUUUGCUUCUAGCUGUUGGUCUCUGAUUCUGCAUACUAUUUUCUCAGAGUGUUCUUAAGCUCGGGGUGUGUGUGUGUGUGUGUGUGAGAGAGAGAGAGAGAGAGAAAGAGAGAGGAGGAGAAGAAGAAGGAGGAGGAGGAGGAGAAGAGAGGAGGAGGAGAAAGAGGAGAUAAGAGAGGAGAGGAGAAGAUAUUCCCUGCUUUAUGACAGUUACAGAAAGAAUCUCAUAGAAAAUGUAGUUUUUUUCCUUUGCAGCCACAUCUGUGGGUAUCUGGAAUGAAGAGACUGGAGAAUGAACACAGCCAUUUUUUGUAUCCCAGUGUGGUCCUACUGAACUGACAGGGACUUCUCCAGGCCACGUCUUUUAUGUCACAUAUGAACACACUCAGAUAUAAGAAAGAGAUAGUCAGCAUUUCCUUUGUGCCAGGUUUUGACCAGUUACUGAGAAGGUCCCAUUCUUUUGAGAAAAGGAAGUGUGUGAAUAAGUACUGUUAGCACAGAUAAACAGCUAGGUCUGAAAAGAGCACCAGCUGUCCCAGAGAGUCCCAAGGACUUUCCACAUCUUAACAACUCAAAAACAACCAAGCCAGAGAUUGUCCCCCCAAAAAGAAGCCUAAUUGUUAGCCACACCAUCACUGCAGUUACAUUACAAACUACCUGCCUGAAAAAUCACCAUGACAGAUCCAAAAGACCUUAUUAGGAAAGCAAAUAGGUGGCACCCUGUUCCAGCAAAAUCCCACCUGAUUUCUAGAGCUCUCUUCCCUAUCGCAAGAAUAUUCCAAUCCUUUAUUAUAUGAUAAAGUAAGGAAAAACUCCUCAGACCCUUGGAACAGGUGCUCUCUUCCCCAAAUUUGCCAGCUCUCCCUGUUGAGGGUGUCCUUUCACUUAUAAUAACCUCUGCUUGCUUGCUCAAUUCAACCCUAAUGCACCUUAGAAUUCUUUCUUUGGGCUGGCAUUGUGGUAUAGUGGGUAAAGCCGCCACCUGUGAUACUAGCAUCACAUAUGAGUGCCAGUUCAUGUCCUGGCUGUUCUACUUCUGAUCCAGUUCACUACUAGUGUGCCUGAGAAAGCAGCAUAAGAUGGCAUAAGUACUUGGGCCUCUGCACCCAUGUGAAAGAUCCAGAUGGAAUUUUAGGCUCCUAUCUUUGGCCUGACCCCACCCCACCAUUGUAGCCAUUUGGGGGGUGAACCAGUGCAUGGAAUAUCUCUUUCCCUCUCAAAUGAGUAAAUCAGUAUUCUUUCUUCUGUUAGCAUCAAGAACCUGGACACAUUCUCCAGUAUCAGUACUGAACAGUGGGAUCCAGAUGUGAGAGAUGCCUAAAAGAAUGAUCCCAACCUUGGGGUUGGGAGACUUAAAACUUCAGGUGCUGGAUGCUGGGUGUUCACUCUUCGUGUUUUGUGCCAAACUCUGCUCCAAGUGCUCCCUUCACACAAUGCUCAGAAGUGGAGACUAUUGUUAUCCCCAUCCUAGAGAUGGGGAAACUGAGGCACAAAGAGGUAAAGUGACAUGCCUGAGGUAACCCAUCAUUAAAUAGCAGAGGCAGGAGUGCACUCUCACGUGGGUGUCCUUUCACCAACUGUGCUUCCUGCUGCUUUGAGAUCACCAAGUCUACCCAGCUAAACACCAACAAGCCAGGAUUGAAUCAGGGUGUUCUGCUUCCCUGACUUGCUUUAAAUUCUAACUCCCAAGACCCUAGAGCGUUUAUUUUUCUUAGUGGUCUGUCAAAGGUUGAUGAUUCUCAAAGUAGCAUGUUUAAAAAAGGUAAGACAUUCACUAGAAUAGCAACUUCAGGGUCCUUGUUUGGAAGUGUUGGAGCUUGGGGAAGGGGAAAAUGACAAAUAAGACUGAACAAAAAUGUACUGUGAGCAUAAGCCUGGUGUGUUUGGGUGAAUAGUGAGUUUCUACCACAUGCAAGGUAUAAUAAUAAUCAGGUGUUCAAAAUAUUCAGCCAGACUCUACUGGCUACUCUAAGAUAGAAAUGCAGGGACAGAUAAAAGACUGUGUUCAGGUUUUAUUUUAAUCCCUACUGUGGUCUUUAAAGGCCUUGGUAUUGAAAGCAAAUGAUAUUUCUACCUACUCCUUCCCAAAGCAGGAAUUUGCAUUUUAAUUUUGGAACACCCAAGAAAAAAAAUCCAAUGAAACACUUUAUUUACUUUUUGAGACAUUUUUUCUUCUUUCCAGGAAUAAAGCCUAUUGCUUAUUGAGUUGUAGACUAAAUACCAUGAGUCCCAAGGACAAGUUGCUUACUAGAACUACAGAACAUGUGUUUGUCCUUUACCCAGGAGGAAGGAGCCUAGGUUCCUAGAUCUUGAGUGGAAUAGACUUCCAUCGUAGCAUAGUGGUUGUGUUUGCUUGGAGAUGAACUUCAAAUCAGGAAGUUCAUACAUAAACAACUGGGAACACACUUAAUAAAAGUGGCCUGAAAGCCCUCCUUUGGUAAGGAAAGUGAGUUAAGUGCACUUUGUCAUAUUACUUAACAAUUCUGAAAAUGAGAGCAUAGCCAGCACCAGUCUGUCAUUCUUAAGUUUGUCCAUCCUAGAUGCUGCUCACGUAGGUAAGGUAGCCACACAAUUCAUCAUCCAAAUCAUCCCAUCAUUAUUUAUACUGGAACAAAAGGCCUAAACCAGGCCUGAGCCAGUCAAGCUAGCAUAAAUGAUCACCUACUCAUGGGCAAAAUACUCUUUUUUUUUUUUUAAUUAUUUGACAGGUAGAGUUAUAGACAUUGAGAGAGAGAGACAGAGAGAAAGGUCUUCAUUGGUUCACUCCCCAAAUGGCCGCUACGGCCGGCGCUGUGCCGAUCUGAAGCCAGGAGCCAGGUGCUUCCUCCUGGUCUCCCAUGUGGGUGCAGGGCCCAAGCACUUGGGCCAUCCUCCACUGCACUCCCGGGCCAGAGCAGAGAGCUGGACUGGAAGAGGAGCAACGGGGACUAGAACCUGGCACCCAUAUGGAUGCCAGCGCUCCAGGUGGAGGAUUAACCAAAUGAGCCAUGGCACCAGCCCGGGGAAAAUACUACUCUUUUCAAGUGAAAACAUGGAACUGGCAUGGGGUUUGUAAGCAGAAUCAAGUCAGUGAAGGGUCAGAAAGAGGGAAUUUCUCAGGUGGAAAUGUCUCACGGCUUUGAACACAUGAAGAACUGAAAGGGAUAGUGCAACCGUCUGAACUAGAAGAGGAAGAAAAGAGGAACUGGAGAGACACGGUCAGGUCUUUACAAAGCGAGGACAGACACCAGACCCCCUGACUCAGCUACAUCAAGGUCUCAGGAAGUUUCUGAAGCUCCUCUGGCAUCUGAGGGAAUAAGACCCAAUGGAAGAAGUAUCAGGAAGCAGUUACUUCCCCCUCAAACUCCAGGGCCCCCUCCACUGUCCUGUGAAACGCCCUCUACACUUUCUACCAGCUCUGACAACCGGGACCCUUUUAAUGCACCUUCUUGAAGGACCAAUGUAUAAUAGCCCUAGUGGGUGACAGCACUGAUUAUCUGAGUUCUGCACUCGGAAUGAUCAGGCCUGCUCUCAUUAAUCAGUACAUUCACUAAAGCUGCCUUUACCUGGAAGAACAGUCCCCACUUACCACCUAGCAGAAAACAGAGAUUUCCAGAUAAUAACACAUGGGACACAAAGGCAGGGGAGAGUCUCUAAGGAACCUGAAUGCUGUAAAGAAGGGCAGGUGAAGGUCAAACGUAACUAAGUGGCUGGGAUACCCAGGGUGGGCCACGUGACGGUGCUACAUGUUGGAGACAGGGUGGCUAGAGUGACUCAGAAAGACAAGAAAAGGGAAAAGAAAGUUUCAGAAGAAAAAUUUUUAUAUGGUGUCUACCCUUGCAAAGGGAUCUGCUAAGGCUUCUUCAGAGAUAAUUAGAAACAUGAGCUCACACGUGGAAUGGGCGGGCAUGAGGUGCCCAGAGCUCCCAACUAUGUUUUCUCUGCCUUUGAUUAUGGGCAGCAGCUUAGAAUCAAAGACCAGGAAGUAAUUAUCCCAUUGGGGGCAGGUUCCCAUGUCUCUCACCAGCUCUUUAGAAUUUCCUACAAGUCAAGGUAAGUUGGCAUGAAGAGGGACAUGAAUUAAUUCCAAAUAUAGAAUUAUUUUUUCCAUAUCACUCCCUGGUAGCACAUUCUGUUGUACGAAGAAAGUCCAAGAAAAAUGAAAUGGGCGACUCUUGGAAGUCUAAGAGAAAAAAAGUAAUGAAAUUUUGGUAUUUUUAGAAUAAAAGUGCAAUGAUUUUUGAAGUGCCAGUUUAUCCGGGGAAGUACCUUUGCUGCCUGAAACCAAUGUUUAGGUGAAGAUAGUUGUUCAGAAUUUCAGUCACUCUGCAUUUUGUCUAUUAUGUAUUUGGGGAUUUAUGGACAAAUAUUUCAUUUUUCAACAAGAUACUAAUUGCCAUGGGAGAUUUAUUUCUACAGUGAGAUUAUCACAUCCCCCAAGUCUUUUACAUUGGAUCUCCCUAAAUACCUCUUAAAACAUUACUUUUUAUUACACAGUAUCUAGUAAGUAGACAUUAAGUAUUAGUUUGUUGCACCUGAUGCCUGAUGUCAACUAAGCUACUCAUCUUUCUUUUUUUUAUUUUUUAUUUUUUGUUGUUGAUGUUGUUGACAGGCAGAGUGGAUAGUGAGAGAGAGAGAGACAGAGAGACAGAGAGACAGAGAGAAAGGUCUUCCUUUUGCCAUUGGUUCACCCUCCAAUGGCCGCUGCAGCAUCGCACUGAUCUGAAGCCAGGAGCCAGGUGCUUCCUCCUGGUCUCCCAUGGGGUGCAGGGCCCAAGCACUUGGACCAUCCUCCACUGCACUCCCGGGCCAGAGCAGAGAGCUGGCUUGGA